This 61-nucleotide transfer RNA is filed under the name Marmota monax (woodchuck). Its description in RNAcentral is "tRNA.Ala". Lineage: Eukaryota; Metazoa; Chordata; Mammalia; Rodentia; Sciuridae. The record is from RNAcentral.
GGGGUUGUGGCUCAGUGGUAGAGUGCUCGCCUAGCAUGCAUGGGUUCGAUCCUCAGCACCA